RNAcentral lists this ribosomal RNA (422 nucleotides) under uncultured bacterium. RNAcentral's name for it is "bacterial SSU rRNA". It matches the Rfam family "Bacterial small subunit ribosomal RNA", at positions 355 to 774 of the family's 1533-position model. The record is from RNAcentral.
UGAGGAAUAUUGGGCAAUGGACGCAAGUCUGACCCAGCCAUGCCGCGUGCAGGAUGACGGCCCUACGGGUUGUAAACUGCUUUUGUACGAGAAGAAUUCUCUUGACGUGUCAGGGGUUGACGGUAUCGUACGAAUAAGCAUCGGCUAACUCCGUGCCAGCAGCCGCGGUAAUACGGAGGAUGCAAGCGUUAUCCGGAUUUAUUGGGUUUAAAGGGUGCGUAGGCGGGAUAUUAAGUCAGUGGUGAAAUCCUGCAGCUUAACUGUAGAACUGCCAUUGAUACUGAUAUUCUUGAGUAUAGUUGAAGUGGGCGGAAUGUGUAAUGUAGCGGUGAAAUGCUUAGAUAUUACACAGAACACCGAUUGCGUAGGCAGCUCGCUAAACUAAUACUGACGCUGAGGCACGAAAGCGUGGGGAGCGAACA